AUGCAAGUCGAACGAACUUCCGUUAAUUGAUCAGGACGUGCUUGCACUGAAUGAGAUUUUAACACGAAGUGAGUGGCGGACGGGUGAGUAACACGUGGGUAACCUGCCCAGAAGCAGGGGAUAACACCUGGAAACAGAUGCUAAUACCGUAUAACAGAGAAAACCGCCUGGUUUUCUUUUAAAAGAUGGCUCUGCUAUCACUUCUGGAUGGACCCGCGGCGCAUUAGCUAGUUGGUGAGGUAACGGCUCACCAAGGCGAUGAUGCGUAGCCGACCUGAGAGGGUAAUCGGCCACAUUGGGACUGAGACACGGCCCAGACUCCUACGGGAGGCAGCAGUAGGGAAUCUUCCACAAUGGACGCAAGUCUGAUGGAGCAACGCCGCGUGAGUGAAGAAGGGUUUCGGCUCGUAAAGCUCUGUUGUUAAAGAAGAACGUGGGUGAGAGUAACUGUUCACCCAGUGACGGUAUUUAACCAGAAAGCCACGGCUAACUACGUGCCAGCAGCCGCGGUAAUACGUAGGUGGCAAGCGUUAUCCGGAUUUAUUGGGCGUAAAGCGAGCGCAGGCGGUCUUUUAAGUCUAAUGUGAAAGCCUUCGGCUCAACCGAAGAAGUGCAUUGGAAACUGGGAGACUUGAGUGCAGAAGAGGACAGUGGAACUCCAUGUGUAGCGGUGAAAUGCGUAGAUAUAUGGAAGAACACCAGUGGCGAAGGCGGCUGUCUGGUCUGUAACUGACGCUGAGGCUCGAAAGCAUGGGUAGCGAACAGGAUUAGAUACCCUGGUAGUCCAUGCCGUAAACGAUGAUUACUAAGUGUUGGAGGGUUUCCGCUCUUCAGUGCUGCAGCUAACGCAUUAAGUAAUCCGCCUGGGGAGUACGACCGCAAGNGAAACUCAAA
Molecule: ribosomal RNA, 894 nt
Filed under: Pediococcus acidilactici
Lineage: Bacteria; Bacillati; Bacillota; Bacilli; Lactobacillales; Lactobacillaceae
Description: bacterial SSU rRNA
Rfam family: Bacterial small subunit ribosomal RNA
Source: RNAcentral